UCGCCUGUUUAUCAAAAACAUGGUUUCUUGUAAUUAUUUAGGAGAUCUGACCUGCCCACUGAAAAUAUUUUAAAGGGCCGCAGUAUUUUGACUGUGCAAAGGUAGCAUAAUCAUUAGUCUUUUAAUUGAAGGCUGGUAUGAAUGGUUGGAUGAGGUAAAUUCUGUUUUAUGUUAAUUGGUGUUGAAUUUAGAUUUUAAGUAAAAAUACUUAAAUGUUAUUAAGGGACGAGAAGACCCUAUAGAGUUUAAUAAAUGUAGUAAUUAAUUGAGUUAAAGCUUAAUUUUUGGUUUUUAUGUAAUUUAUUUAAUUGGGGUGAUUGGAAGAUAAAAUAAACUCUUCUUUAUAUUUAAUAAGUUAAUUAGUUGUAUGAUCCAUAUUUAAUGAUUAAAAGAUUAAAUUACCUUAGGGAUAACAGCAUAAUUCUUUUUAAGAGUUCAUAUCGAAAAAAGAGAUUGUGACCUCGAUGUUGGAUUAAGAUUAGUUAUGGGUGCAGAUGUYMAWUAACUAGGUCUGUUCGACCUUGAAAAUCUUACAUGAUCUGAGUUCAAACCGGAGA
This 557-nucleotide ribosomal RNA is filed under the name Tenodera superstitiosa. RNAcentral's name for it is "partial 16S ribosomal RNA". It matches the Rfam family "Bacterial large subunit ribosomal RNA", at positions 1796 to 2622 of the family's 2925-position model. The record is from RNAcentral. Lineage: Eukaryota; Metazoa; Arthropoda; Insecta; Mantodea; Mantidae.